AACGAACGCUGGCGGCAUGCCUAACACAUGCAAGUCGAACGGGAUCCUAGCUUGCUAGGUGAGAGUGGCGGACGGGUGAGUAACACGUGGGAAUCUGCCUUUUGGUUCGGGAUAACCGCGGGAAACUGCGGCUAAUACCGAAUGCCCUCGAGAGAGGAAAGAUUUAUCGCCAGAAGAGGAGCCCGCGUCCGAUUAGGUAGUUGGUGGGGUAAAGGCCUACCAAGCCGACGAUCGGUAGCUGGUCUGAGAGGAUGAUCAGCCACACUGGGACUGAGAUACGGCCCAGACUCCUACGGGAGGCAGCAGUGGGGAAUAUUGGACAAUGGGGGCAACCCUGAUCCAGCAAUGCCGCGUGAGUGAUGAAGGCCUUAGGGUUGUAAAGCUCUUAUGCCAGGGAAGAUGAUGACUGUACCUGGAGAAUAAGCCCCGGCUAACUUCGUGCCAGCAGCCGCGGUAAU
RNAcentral lists this ribosomal RNA (458 nucleotides) under uncultured bacterium. RNAcentral describes it as "bacterial SSU rRNA". It matches the Rfam family "Bacterial small subunit ribosomal RNA", at positions 29 to 524 of the family's 1533-position model. The record is from RNAcentral.